CAUGUUCCAUCAAAUGCUGAUGGAUGUGUUUGUUUGUUUGAAGGAUUGAGGCAGAUGAAGCAAAAAUGACUGCAAGGAAGCAUAUGCAGAAAGCAAAAGCAGCAAUUCAAAAGCUUGUGAUAACACUUGAAAAGAAAGACCAUACUCGCUGGAGAUGAUUUUCAAUACCCUCAAGUCUGGUCCUAGGAAAAUGCAGGUGGUAUGCAGUACGUCAACUGCGAGUAGUAUCGAAUGGCGCAACACCUCAGCAAGAAUGGUCAAAUGUGUUUGUUGAGUGGAUGCUUCACAUGUCGUGCUUUGUAGAGAUGUACUAGUUCUAUGCUCAAGUAAGAUGAAUUCAGAUUUUACCAUUGAUUAAUAGCAUUCAUAUUCUGGGUACUCCUUUGGUUAUGAUUCUACCAGGGGAACAUAAGAAAGCAGAUGAAGAUUAAGAGGAACAGUAUGUUCUCAUGCAUUAUUUGUGAAUUGUGAUUAUUGUUACCUGACCACAGAAUAAUAAGAGUUCCUGUUCUGCUAGUUUUUCA
Panicum virgatum (switchgrass) is the source of this 524-nucleotide long non-coding RNA. RefSeq lists it as uncharacterized. The transcript has 2 exons. Lineage: Eukaryota; Viridiplantae; Streptophyta; Magnoliopsida; Poales; Poaceae. The record is from RefSeq and is a predicted model, not a curated record.